CAGCAGCCACGGUAAUACGAACCGUGCGAACGUUAUUCGGAAUUACUGGGCUUAAAGCGCGUGUAGGCGGCUCGGCACGUCGGACGUUGAAAUCCCCCGGCUCAACCGGGGAAGUGGCGCCGAUACGGCCGAGCUGGAGGGGGGUAGGGGGGUCUGGAACUUCCGGUGGAGCGGUGAAAUGCGUUGAGAUCGGAAGGAACGCCCGUGGCGAAAGCGAGGCCCUGGACCUUUUCUGACGCUGAGACGCGAAAGCCAGGGGAGCGAACGGGAUUAGAUACCCGGGUAGUCCCUGUCUCUUACA
This 301-nucleotide ribosomal RNA is filed under the name uncultured bacterium. RNAcentral's name for it is "partial 16S ribosomal RNA". It matches the Rfam family "Bacterial small subunit ribosomal RNA", at positions 509 to 808 of the family's 1533-position model. The record is from RNAcentral.